RNAcentral lists this ribosomal RNA (490 nucleotides) under Osteocephalus mimeticus (Henle's slender-legged treefrog). RNAcentral describes it as "partial 12S ribosomal RNA". It matches the Rfam family "Bacterial small subunit ribosomal RNA", at positions 794 to 1522 of the family's 1533-position model. Lineage: Eukaryota; Metazoa; Chordata; Amphibia; Anura; Hylidae. The record is from RNAcentral.
GCUCAACCGUAAACUUUAAAUUACACCCAUCUCGCCCGGGAACUACGAGCAAAGCUUAAAACCCAAAGGACUUGACGGUACCCCACAUCCACCUAGAGGAGCCUGUCCUAUAAUUGAUAACCCCCGCUUAACCUCACCAUUUUUAGCUUAUCAGCCUGUAUACCUCCGUCGUCAGCUUACCACGUGAGCGACCCUCAGUAAGCUUGAUGCCCAUACGCCAACACGUCAGGUCAAGGUGCAGCAAAUAAAAUGGGAAGAGAUGGGCUACACUCUCUAUUCUAGAAAACACGGAAGACUAUUUAUGAAACCUAGUCAAAAGGCGGAUUUAGUAGUAAAAAGAGACAAGAGUGCUCUUUUUAACACGGCACUGGGGUGUGUACACACCGCCCGUCACCCUCUUCGAAGCUAACACAAAGUUUUUAACACUCUUAAGCACUACAGAAGAGGCAAGUCGUAACAUGGUAAGUAUACCGGAAGGUGUGCUUGGAAA